RNAcentral lists this ribosomal RNA (469 nucleotides) under uncultured bacterium. Its description in RNAcentral is "partial 16S ribosomal RNA". It matches the Rfam family "Bacterial small subunit ribosomal RNA", at positions 28 to 507 of the family's 1533-position model. The record is from RNAcentral.
GACGAACGCUGGCGGCGUGCUUAACACAUGCAAGUCGAACGGAAAGGCCCUGCUUGCCGGGUGCUCGAGUGGCGAACGGGUGAGUAACACGUGGGUGAUCUGCCCCUUACUUUGGGAUAAGCCUGGGAAACUGGGUCUAAUACUGGAUAGGACCAUGCUGUAGGUGGUGUGGUGGAAAGAUUAGUUUCGGUAAGGGAUGAGCUCGCGGCCUAUCGGCUUGUUGGUGGGGUAAUGGCCUACCAAGGCGUCGACGGGUAGCCGGCCUGAGAGGGUGGACGGCCACAUUGGGACUGAGAUACGGCCCAGACUCCUACGGGAGGCAGCAGUGGGGAAUAUUGCACAAUGGGCGCAAGCCUGAUGCAGCGACGCCGCGUGGGGGAUGACGGCCUUCGGGUUGUAAACUCCUUUCAGCCAUGACGAAGCCCUUGUGGUGACGGUAGUGGUAGAAGAAGCACCGGCUAACUACGUG